UACGGGGGGGGCAAGCGUUGUUCGGAAUUACUGGGCGUAAAGGGUGCGUAGGCGGUCCGCUAAGUUAGAUGUGAAAACUCUGGGCUCAACCCAGAGCCUGCAUCUAAUACUGACGGGCUAGAGUUCUGGAGGGGGUAGCGGAAUUCCUGGUGUAGCGGUGAAAUUCGUAGAUAUUGGGAAGAAUACCAGAGGCGAAGGCGGCUACCUGGACAAUUGCUGACGCUCAGGCACGAAAGCGUGGGGAGCAAAAGGG
Molecule: ribosomal RNA, 253 nt
Filed under: uncultured bacterium
Lineage: Bacteria
Description: partial 16S ribosomal RNA
Rfam family: Bacterial small subunit ribosomal RNA
Source: RNAcentral